RNAcentral lists this small nuclear RNA (107 nucleotides) under Dasypus novemcinctus (nine-banded armadillo). Lineage: Eukaryota; Metazoa; Chordata; Mammalia; Cingulata; Dasypodidae. The record is from RNAcentral.
AUGUUGGCUUCUGUAGCACAUAUACUAAAAUCGGAAAGAUACAGAGAAGAUCAGCAUGGCCCCUGUGCAAGGGUGAAAUACAAAUUUUUGAGGUGUUCCCUAUUUUU